RNAcentral lists this ribosomal RNA (164 nucleotides) under uncultured Chlamydiales bacterium. RNAcentral describes it as "partial 16S ribosomal RNA". It matches the Rfam family "Bacterial small subunit ribosomal RNA", at positions 347 to 504 of the family's 1533-position model. Lineage: Bacteria; Pseudomonadati; Chlamydiota; Chlamydiia; Chlamydiales. The record is from RNAcentral.
AGCUGCAAGUCGAGAUCUUUCGCAAUGGGCGAAGCCUGACGAAGCGACGCUGAGUGAGCGAUGAAGGCCUUCGGGUUGUAAAGCUCUUUCGCGCAGGAACAAGGGAGGUGGGAGAAUAMCCUGUUAAUUUGAGGGUACUGCGUAAAGAAGCACCGGCUAACUCC